RNAcentral lists this non-coding RNA (29 nucleotides) under Mus musculus (house mouse). The record is from RNAcentral. Lineage: Eukaryota; Metazoa; Chordata; Mammalia; Rodentia; Muridae.
UCCCUAGACUUUUCCCCCAUGUGUGAUGC